UACGGGGGGAGCAAGCGUUGUUCGGAUUUACUGGACGUAAAGGGCGCGUAGGCGGCGCAACAAGUCACUUGUGAAAUCUCCGGGCUUAACCCGGAGCGGCCAAGUGAUACUGUCGUGCUAGAGUGCGGAAGGGGCUACUGGAAUUCUCGGUGUAGCGGUGAAAUGCGUAGAUAUCGAGAGGAACACCUGCGGCGAAGGCGGGUAGCUGGGCCGACACUGACGCUGAGGCGAGCGAAAGCCGGGUGGGAGAAC
RNAcentral lists this ribosomal RNA (252 nucleotides) under uncultured bacterium. RNAcentral describes it as "partial 16S ribosomal RNA". It matches the Rfam family "Bacterial small subunit ribosomal RNA", at positions 524 to 773 of the family's 1533-position model. The record is from RNAcentral.